CACUAUGUUGUCAUAUCACCAGUCUGCAGGCCUCCACUAUGUUGUAAUGUCUCCAGUCUGUAGCGCUCCACUAUGUUGCCAUGUCUGUAGUCUUCCAGUAUAAUGUCAUGUCCCCAGUCUGUAGUCCUCCACUAUAAUGUAAUGUCUCCAGUCUGUAGGCCUCCACUAUGAUGUAAUGUCUCCAGUCUGUAGGCCUCCACUAUGAUGUAAUGUCUCCCGUCUGUAGGCCUCCACUAUGAUGUAAUGUCUCCAGUCUGUUGGCCUCCGCUAUGAUGUAAUGUCUCCAGUCUGUUGGUCUCCAGUCUGUAGAUCUCCACUAUAUUGUCAUGUCUCCAGUCUGUAGGUCUCCACUAUGAUGUCAUUUCUCCAGUCUGAAGGCCUCCACUAUAUUGUCAUUUCUCCAGUCUGUAGGCCUCCACUAUGAUAUCAUGUCUCCAGUCUGUAGUCCUCCAUUAUGUUGUCAUGUCUCCCAUCUGUAGUCUUCACUAUUUUGUCAUGUCUCCAGUCUGUAGGCCUCCACUAUGUUGUCCUGUCUCCAGUCCGUAGGCCUCCACUAUGAUGUAAUGUCUCCAGUCUGUA
This 579-nucleotide long non-coding RNA is filed under the name Salmo salar (Atlantic salmon). RNAcentral describes it as "lncRNA (ENSSSAG00000118833.1)". Lineage: Eukaryota; Metazoa; Chordata; Actinopteri; Salmoniformes; Salmonidae. The record is from RNAcentral.